Molecule: ribosomal RNA, 497 nt
Filed under: uncultured bacterium
Lineage: Bacteria
Description: partial 16S ribosomal RNA
Rfam family: Bacterial small subunit ribosomal RNA
Source: RNAcentral
GACGAACGCUGGCGGCGUGCCUAAUACAUGCCAGUAGAACGCUGAAGCGAGGAGCUUGCUCUUCUUGGAUGAGUUGCGAACGGGUGAGUAACGCGUAGGUAACCUGCCUUGUAGCGGGGGAUAACUAUUGGAAACGAUAGCUAAUACCGCAUAACAAUGGAUGACACAUGUCAUUUAUUUGAAAGGGGCAAUUGUUCCACUACAAGAUGGACCUGCGUUGUAUUAGCUAGUAGGUGAGGUAAUGGCUCACCUAGGCGACGAUACAUAGCCGACCUGAGAGGGUGAUCGGCCACACUGGGACUGAGACACGGCCCAGACUCCUACGGGAGGCAGCAGUAGGGAAUCUUCGGCAAUGGGGGCAACCCUGACCGAGCAACGCCGCGUGAGUGAAGAAGGGUUUCGGAUCGUAAAGCUCUGUUGUAAGUCAAGAACGGGUGUGAGAGUGGAAAGUUCACACUGUGACGGUAGCUUACCAGAAAGGGACGGCUAACUACGUG